GUCCUGUGGAUAGCUCAGUUGGUAAAGCAUGAGAUUCGUAAUCUCAGGGUUGUGGGUUUGAGCCCCACAUUGGGCA
Non-coding RNA from Podarcis raffonei (Aeolian wall lizard), 76 nucleotides. NCBI's taxonomy places the organism in Eukaryota, Metazoa, Chordata, Lepidosauria, Squamata, Lacertidae. The record is from the annotation of a RefSeq genome assembly.